Long non-coding RNA from Harmonia axyridis, 2332 nucleotides. RefSeq lists it as uncharacterized. Lineage: Eukaryota; Metazoa; Arthropoda; Insecta; Coleoptera; Coccinellidae. The transcript is spliced from 3 exons. The record is from RefSeq and is a predicted model, not a curated record.
ACCGACAUAGCAUUAACAGUGUGGACAUUAAUAUCUGAAUAACUUUUUUUUGUUUUGUGUAUUGCAGCAGGACUAGAACAAUCGACCGCAGGAUUUCUUUGUGACUUUUUCGGUUACGUGAAGGGUUACGGAAAGUUACUUUGGGGUGACACUCAGUGACUAUCUUUGUGCGCGUUGAAUACUGUUUUACGUUGAGUGGUUGGUUCAACUCGGACAGAAAACCAGUGAGUAUAAUUGAGAUACUGCUACCGAUUGUUUCAUUGUACAAUCACUGUAGCUAAGAUAGUGAUAUCAUACCGCCUUCAUAUAAUAGGGUAUUGUUCACUGCUACUAUUUACUGUUCAUCGUUUGAAUAAAGAAAGAUUUGUUGUUUUUUCCCUUACACACUAUUAUCCUGAGCAACUUUAUUCCAGGCUGAAACAAGGUAGGGAUAUAAAAGUCAUAAGGACUUGGAGAUAUUUACUUGUGAUUUUAUUUGCUUUUGAACCAUAAUAGCUGAUUUCUGAUAAAUAAAGUUGACUUGUUUUUAUUAUUGCUGCAACAGUGAAUAUAAGUUUUUGUUGCUGUGUAUUCCUUAUUUCUGAGUUUACUGAUUGCCUGAAACAUUUUUAUUUUGUGUUGAAAUGCUGAUGAAUUUUUGAAACAAGUGAUUAUCGUUAUUGAUUUGAAUAAAGACUUGCAUUGAUUUUCUUUGUCUGAUAUUCCAGGAUUGCUGAAUUGUUGUUGAUUUAUUUGAAAUAUAUUUUGACUGUGAAUAAAAUUUGUAACGGUUCGAUUUACACCAUUGGAUAUUUCGGUUGGUAGUACGCCCUCUGGAAGUUGAUUGUUGAUUCAACUCGGAAUGUUCCGUAUUAAUAUAAAUAUCAAUUUAUUGUGGAACACUUAUUUCCGGAUAAAUGAGGUCGAUUAUUAUUACCGUGGGGAAAUAUUUUAUAAUUUCUGGAUUUCUUGUAUUAAUUUUCUUCUGUGUGGGAAGUUUUAUUUGACAACUGGUAGAUUCUGUGGUUAUGGAUUGUCAAAAUGGAGGUUAUCGGCGAUUUGAGAGAAUUUUGAAAGGGAUUUUUUUGGAAGGAAAUUGGACUUGAAUUGGAGAAUAUAUGAUCUCGAAUCAUCCUUGUUAUAGGCGAUUAUUUCUUCAAUUUGGGUAAUUCCCUGUAUGGUUUAUGGUAUUGUGAAUAAUUUUGGGAAAUACGUUUUAUACGUGAUUAUGAGAAUUUUCUUCCACAAGGCCCAUCUCUGGUAUUGAAUUUUACUCUGAAGAUCUGAGAGGAUUCGCUUCCCGCCGAUAAGUUCGAACACCUGUUGAACUUACACGAAGAAUAUCAAGAAGAUCCUUUUCCCUCGAACAACAACUGAGAGGGUCCUAGUGCCUGGAUAUUUUUGGGAAUCCUAGUGCCUGGGUUGAAUUGAAGAAUCCUAGUGCCUGGUUACGUUCUGGAGUCUGGUAUAUGGUAUGGUUUGAGGUUAUGGUACUUAUUUUCUGGUGAAUUUCUGGUGCAGUUCUGAUGUAUGAUACAUUCUGAUACAUGGUACAGUUCGAGUACAUAGUAUAUUGCUGACAUAUGGUGUAGCUCGAGUAGAUGGUACAUUCUACGUUUAGAGACCUCACCGUUUAGAUUUGCUGUCAACCUCCAAUAUUGAUUUUGUAUCAGGUAACCGGUGCUUGCACUGGCUUUAAUGAGUAUUGUACUGAGAUUUAAUUUUUGAAGUAACGAUUUAGUGUACUGAUAGUAAAUCAGUUAUUUGAAUAGGAGUUAACGGCUUUAUUAUUAAUUUUCUAUCCAUUGAUAGUUAGAUUGAAAUAUAUUGAAUAAAGGUUGUUUCAUGCUCAUUAUUUACUGUCGAAAUUGUAAACAGUUUGCGGUGAGGUGCACUUCACUAACUGGCCAUUUAUUUUAACAACUAUAACACUUGUGUAUCCCUUCAGGAUUUGUAACUGGAAUUUACUAUUACUUUAUUCAGCCUGCUAUUUUAUACCAGCCAGUUAUUACAACCACUGUAUUUGUAUAUUCCUUCAGGAUCUGUGGUUGAGGUCAAUCUUCUUGUUCAACUUGGUUAUUUGUCUGGUUUAUUAUCUGGUAAAUUUGGAGUUUGUUGAACUCUGUUUUAAUUUAGUUUUGGUACUGAAGUUUGAGGUUAAGCCUAAGCCAAGUGUAGGCUGAUAUAAGGAUCCUGUUUUCAGGAUUAGUUUAGGCAUAUAGGUUAUAGGAAGCCCUUCUGGCAUUUGUUGUUGAUUAUAGGUUAUAGGAAGCCCUUCUGGCAUUUGUUGUUGAUUAUAGUUUUUAGGAAGCCCUUCUGGCGUUUGUUAGUGUUAGGUAAAGUUUUGGGAAGC